RNAcentral lists this RNase P RNA (357 nucleotides) under uncultured Treponema sp. RNAcentral describes it as "Bacterial RNase P class A". It matches the Rfam family "Bacterial RNase P class A". Rfam says of the family: Ribonuclease P (RNase P) is a ubiquitous endoribonuclease, found in archaea, bacteria and eukarya as well as chloroplasts and mitochondria. Its best characterised activity is the generation of mature 5'-ends of tRNAs by cleaving the 5'-leader elements of precursor-tRNAs. Lineage: Bacteria; Pseudomonadati; Spirochaetota; Spirochaetia; Treponematales; Treponemataceae. The record is from RNAcentral.
AAUCUGGUGAGGAAAGUCCGGGCUCCACCGGAAAAGAUGCCGGGUAAUAACCGGGGGAAUAAAGGCAGUUGUCUUUUUAGGCAUAACCCUUUGUUCUACAGAAAGUGCCACAGAAAAUAUACCGCCGAAAGGUAAGGGUGCAAAGGCGAGGUAAGAGCUCACCGCAAAAUUGGCAACAGUUUUGGCAUGGUAAACCUCAUCUGGAGCAAAAUCAAGCAGCAGUCAGUUUUUUCCGGAACAUAAACUGCGGGUAGGUUGCUAAAGGUUUUUGAUAACAAAAAUCUCGGAUAGAUGGUUAUGCGUAAAUUUUCUUUUUUAAGGAAAUUUACAGAACAGAACCCGGCUUACUUUCUUUUC